GGUUGAUAUUUAUGUGAAUGUUCUUAAACAUUUUUAACAUUUUUUUUCCCACCAAAAAUGUUGAAAAUGUGGACAUCAGAAAUUUCACUGUGAAAACAGAUUUCUUUCCCACAUUUUCAAACUUUAAAAUGAGUCAAUUUUGACCUGCAGGACGACAUGAGGAUUCAACUUAUUUUGAGUUUUCUUGUAAAAUUCAACUCAAACAAGAUAAUUUCCAGAUUGUUUGACUGAACAAGAUAUUUAAGAUGCAUUGUCCUCCAUCUGCUGAAAUGUCUCUUGUUAAGUGAAUUUAUCUUAAAUCCAGUGGGAUGAGACAUUUGGACUAAAAAUAAGACAAACAGACUUGGUCAGAUUUUGAGUUUCUGCAGUGUAGUCGCCCAUCGAGGGCCUCUGACUGAUUCAUUGCUCAUUUUGCUCACAGUGUGAAUUAAAGCUGGAAGCUGCCUUAUCGUUGUGUCUGGUUUUACUGCAGUAGAGGAACAAAUACUACGUUCCCUGAAUGUUCCCCAUAACUCUGUGGUCCUCAGCUAGGUUUGGUUCCUGCUGUAGAGAUGAGGUUCAUGUUUUCUAUGGAUGAUGUGCAAUUGUGCUGAAGAGACGGUUUCUGAAACUCAAGAGUUCUUUUCUUCCUCUCUGGGUGAAACACAAGCAGGUUUGAAAUGUUUCUGUGAUGUUUGAGGUACACCAACGUUUUGCUCUUUUAAUUAAGUCUUUUUUCUCCGAAGAGCGUCUGAACAGAACGUCUUUUUGUAAAUUCUGGACGACAGACGCUCAACGUUUCUAACUGUGGAUGUUUUGUUGAUAUCAGCUCGAUAGCAGUUGAUCUGUUUUCCGUUUGGUUUGUUUUUGUAUCGUCGGGGUGCGCUUGUUUCCGUUCAUCCAGUAAAAGUGACUUUUGUUAGCUAGAAGGAAACAAACGCACCCUUUUGGCUGUUCUCCAGACAGCGGGAAGGAAUGUUUGUACAAACGAAGGAGGUCUGAAACUAACAUUCAGCCAAACAGCUUUUCUGUUUGUCGGAGUGUUGAUAAAACGUUCAUCAGCUCACCCAGAACAUCAUCACGUCUGAUUCUAAACCAAACAUACCUCCAUCUUCAUGUUCUCCCCCUCUGCUCCGGAACAUCUUCCUACGUUCGGCUGGUUUGGCUCAACGUUAGUUUCAGGUCCUGCAAACUAAACCAACGAUGAGUUUAAUAUCAUGUUUACAAGCGACUGAUGUUUAUUUAUUCCAUGUCUUAAAGCGUGACCUGUGUUUUAUUGAUAUGCUGCUCUGGUUUGUUCAACCUGAAGUAAAACAGACGUCUUUUAAACUA
Molecule: long non-coding RNA, 1311 nt
Organism: Amphiprion ocellaris (clown anemonefish)
Lineage: Eukaryota; Metazoa; Chordata; Actinopteri; Pomacentridae
Source: Ensembl